This is a long non-coding RNA of Ruditapes philippinarum (Manila clam), 1999 nucleotides long. RefSeq lists it as uncharacterized. The record is from RefSeq and is a predicted model, not a curated record. Lineage: Eukaryota; Metazoa; Mollusca; Bivalvia; Venerida; Veneridae. The transcript has 2 exons.
GUAUAGAGUAUGAUGGUUCCGGGACACUUUGAAGCCUAAAAAAGUGUUUAUCUAUCAAACCAAAGGGUAAGACAGCUCGACAUAGCUUACCCAUCAACCCAAAAAGUAAGACAGCUCGACAUAAAACCCCAUUUUAUUGAUUUAAGAACACCCUCAGGCCAAAAUCCCCCCGGAACCAUCAUACUCUAUACUACUCAUAAAUAGAAUACUAUAAGGCAGGCGGGAACCGACGAGUCCUUUUUUAUAAUUAAAAUAUAUAUAAAUGAGUUUACAAAAACAAAUAUAUUGUUUAAAAGAACGAACAUACACCGAUAAUGUAAAUCCUCAAUAUGUUACAACAAAAAACGGAAGAUUAAUGAUAAAAGCCGCGUGUGCUUCAUGCGGUAAAUUGAAAUCUAAGUUUGUAAAACAAGGCGGCUAAUCAUGAGUAAAAAAAAUGUUUAUCCGGAACCAACUUUUAAAUAGUUGCAGCCUAUAAAUCAAUAUGUCGUUCCGUAUCACGUGUACAGUUUUCCGCUAAAGAUCAAUAGUGAAACGUCAUCCAGAACAUUCGCCUAGUGUGCAGCUCAAUAGAUGUUAAAUGCGUUGUUAUUAUUUCAUCAGCCAGGAAUACAGAGUGGUUAGACAGAAUGGCUGAACAAUUUGAGAUAGAGAUGUUUAAAUAUAUAAAAUCCCUGGAAGAUUUUCUUUCUCGUAAAACGGAGAACGGAGAAGUAAUUACGCACGAUGAAUGCAGUAAAAUGUGUACUUAUAAAAACACAAUUGAGUACAUUUCUAACAUUCAUAAUUUUAUGAAAGAUCAUGCUCAACAACAAGUUACAGAAGAUCAAAUGGCUUCGUUGAAUAAUAAACAAAAAGACUUAAUAAGAACAGAUGAAAUAAAAAAGAUUAACGAUUUGGGAUUGAAAUCGUUGCAGCAGGUUCCAGAUGUGCAACAAAACCUACGUCAACAAAGUAAUAAAACAAAAGCAAAAAAAACAUACAAUCAAGUGAAAAAUGAGGUACAAAAAUCAUAUUCAAAAGAUCGGAACUUGGCUGGAGAGGUUACGUUGGAGCUUGAAAACACCGACAGCUGUUUUAAAACUUUAAAAACACUAGACAGACAUACGCAGAGUGCUGGAAGAACAAAGUUGUUUUAUAAUAUUCAAAAAGGAGAGGUUUUAAAAAAAAUCAAGGAUUUUGAAAAAGGAGGUUUUUUAAACAAAAUAAUAGAAAAUGACAUGCCAUACAAAAUUUCACACUGUAACUUUUUGAUUAAAUUGUACAAGUUUUCACUCAAUCAUUAUGAUAUAAUUCAUUGUUCAUUGUCAUUGCAUUUUCUACAAAAGCAUUGGAGUGUUAUUCCACGGAUAUUUGAUGAAUUGAAAUGGUAAUAAAUUAAUAUUGAAUAUCCGUGGAAUAAGAGUUGCAAAACGACGAGUGUCGGCAGAUUGAUUUUUCCAUUCGCUGUGUUGAAUAUUGGAAAACUUGUAAGGGGACCGACGAGCCUAAAAGGCUCUUGUAAGGGAAGGUUCUUGUAUUGGAAAACUUUUGUAGAGGCUCAAAACGACGAGUGUCGGCAGGCUGAUUUUACCAUUCGCUGUGUUGGAGGCUUGGAAAACUUUUGUAGAGUCGCAAACCGACGGGUGUCGGCAGACUAUUUUUAAACAUUAGUGAAAUAGUUUAUUAUUGUUUGUUCAUUUUCUUUUUGAUUAUUGAUGUUUAAAUGUUUGUAUAAUAUAUCAUAUAAAGACACUUUCUGUUGUAAUAAAUAUAUGAAAUAUAAACAAUAAUAACCACACAGCACACUUGUUUUAUCUUGAUACUGUAUAUUGUUAUAAUUCAAACCUGGAAUGUAACUGAUUACCUCUUUUGGUGGAGGAAGUCCGAAAGGGUCGAAGUAAUUAUUUCUGUAAUAACACACCCAAUGUGUACCCGGUCCAAUAAAGUCAUCUAAAUUUAUUAUCCCGCAUUCUUUACUAUUAGAAGGUAAAUUAUUUCUACUGAAGACGCCUUGAAA